AUGGGACGGCCCGCUGGGCUGUUCCCGCCCCUAUGCCCUUUUUUGGGUUUCCGGCCAGAGGCAUGCUGGGAGCGUCACAUGCAAAUUGAGCGUGCACCCAGCGUUCCGCCCUUUCUACGCUGGGCCGGUUAUCGACCCGGCCCAGUGCGCAGGCGCGGGAAAGUUGAACUAAUAAAGUUUGUACGAGUUCAGUGGAGGAGACCGCAAGUUGAGUGGAGGAGGCGGCGGUGGGGCCCCGGACCAGGUGCCUCCAUGGCAGGCUCUGAAGAGCUGGGGCUCCGGGAAGACACGCUGAGGGUCCUAGCUGCCUUCCUUAGGCGUGGUGAGGCUGCCGGGUCUCCUGUUCCAACUCCACCUAGCCCUGCCCAAGAAGAGCCAACAGACUUCCUGAGCCGCCUUCGAAGAUGUCUUCCCUGCUCCCUGGGGCGAGGAGCAGCCCCCUCUGAGUCCCCUCGGCCUUGCUCUCUGCCCAUCCGCCCCUGCUAUGGUUUAGAGCCUGGUAAGAGAUUUCCAUGAUCAUCUAUGAAGCCGGCAGAACACGGGAUAAGGCCCAGCUACUCCAGACUUCUAUGCUUUGGUGGCCCAGCGGCUGGAACAGCUGGUCCAAGAGCAGCUGAAAUCUCCGCCCAGCCCAGAAUUACAGGGUCCCCCAUCGACAGAGAAGGAAGCCAUACUGCGGAGGCUGGUGGCCCUGCUGGAGGAGGAGGCAGAAGUCAUUAACCAGAAGCUGGCCUCGGACCCCGCCCUGCGCAGCAAGCUGGUCCGCCUGUCCUCCGACUCUUUCGCCCGCCUGGUGGAGCUGUUCUGUAGCCGGGAUGACAGCUCUCGCCCAAGCCGAGCAUGCCCCGGGCCCCCGCCUCCUUCCCCGGAGCCCCUGGCCCGCCUGGCCCUAGCCAUGGAGCUGAGCCGGCGCGUGGCCGGGCUGGGGGGCACCCUGGCCGGACUCAGCGUGGAGCACGUGCACAGCUUCACGCCCUGGAUCCAGGCCCACGGGGGCUGGGAGGGCAUCCUGGCUGUUUCACCCGUGGACUUGAACUUGCCAUUGGACUGAGCUCUUUCUCAGAAGCUGCUACAAGAUGACACCUCAUGUCCCUGCCCUCUUCGUGUGCUUUUCCAAGUCUUCCUAUUCCACUCAGGGCUGUGGGGUGGUGGUUGCCCUACCUGUUUUUGCCAAAAAUAAAUUGUUUAAAACUUUUCUUAUUAAAAACGUUACAAAGUA
Molecule: unclassified non-coding RNA, 1219 nt
Filed under: Homo sapiens (human)
Lineage: Eukaryota; Metazoa; Chordata; Mammalia; Primates; Hominidae
Description: BCL2-like 12 (proline rich), transcript variant 55
Source: RNAcentral